Molecule: ribosomal RNA, 1147 nt
Filed under: Candidatus Phytoplasma sacchari
Lineage: Bacteria; Bacillati; Mycoplasmatota; Mollicutes; Acholeplasmatales; Acholeplasmataceae
Description: bacterial SSU rRNA
Rfam family: Bacterial small subunit ribosomal RNA
Source: RNAcentral
UAAAGACCUUUUUCGGAAGGUAUGCUUAAAGAGGGGCUUGCGGCACAUUAGUUAGUUGGUAGGGUAAAGGCCUACCAAGACUAUGAUGUGUAGCUGGACUGAGAGGUUGAACAGCCACAUUGGGACUGAGACACGGCCCAAACUCCUACGGGAGGCAGCAGUAGGGAAUUUUCGGCAAUGGAGGAAACUCUGACCGAGCAACGCCGCGUGAACGAUGAAGUAUUUCGGUAUGUAAAGUUCUUUUAUUGAAGAAGAAAAAAUAGUGGAAAAACUAUCUUGACGCUAUUCAAUGAAUAAGCCCCGGCAAACUAUGUGCCAGCAGCCGCGGUAAUACAUAGGGGGCAAGCGUUAUCCGGAAUUAUUGGGCGUAAAGGGUGCGUAGGCGGUUUAAUAAGUCUAUAGUUUAAUUUCAGUGCUUAACACUGUUCUGCUAUAGAAACUAUUAAACUGGAGUGAGAUAGAGGCAAGUGGAAUUCCAUGUGUAGCGGUAAAAUGCGUAAAUAUAUGGAGGAACACCAGAGGCGUAGGCGGCUUGCUGGGUCUUUACUGACGCUGAGGCACGAAAGCGUGGGGAGCAAACAGGAUUAGAUACCCUGGUAGUCCACGCCGUAAACGAUGAGUACUAAGUGUCGGGGUUACUCGGUACUGAAGUUAACACAUUAAGUACUCCGCCUGAGUAGUACGUACGCAAGUAUGAAACUUAAAGGAAUUGACGGGACUCCGCACAAGCGGUGGAUCAUGUUGUUUAAUUCGAAGAUACACGAAAAACCUUACCAGGUCUUGACAUACUCUGCAAAGCUAUAGCAAUAUAGUGGAGGUUAUCAGGGAUACAGGUGGUGGCAUGGUUGUCGUCAGCUCGUGUCGUGAGAUGUUAGGUUAAGUCCUAAAACGAGCGCAACCCUUGUCACUAGUUGCCAGCAUGUUAUGAUGGGCACUUUAGUGAGACUGCCAAUGAAAAAUUGGAGGAAGGUGAGGAUCACGUCAAAUCAUCAUGCCCCUUAUGAUCUGGGCUACAAACGUGAUACAAUGGCUGUUACAAAGAGUAGCUGAAACGCAAGUUAAUAGCCAAUCUCAUAAAAACAGUCUCAGUUCGGAUUGAAGUCUGCAACUCGACUUCAUGAAGUUGGAAUCGCUAGUAAUCGCGAAU